Molecule: ribosomal RNA, 253 nt
Filed under: uncultured bacterium
Lineage: Bacteria
Description: partial 16S ribosomal RNA
Rfam family: Bacterial small subunit ribosomal RNA
Source: RNAcentral
UACGUAGGGUGCAAGCGUUGUCCGGAAUUAUUGGGCGUAAAGAGCUCGUAGGCGGUCUGUCGCGUCGGCUGUGAAAUCCCGGGGCUCAACCCCGGGCGUGCAGUGGAUACGGGCUGGCUAGAGGCAGGCAGGGGAGAACGGAAUUCCCGGUGUAGCGGUGAAAUGCGCAGAUAUCGGGAGGAACACCGGUGGCGAAGGCGGUUCUCUGGGCCUGUACUGACGCUGAGGAGCGAAAGCGUGGGGAGCGAACAGG